This 230-nucleotide long non-coding RNA is filed under the name Gossypium raimondii (Peruvian cotton). RNAcentral describes it as "long non-coding RNA (GRAI_LNC000203)". Lineage: Eukaryota; Viridiplantae; Streptophyta; Magnoliopsida; Malvales; Malvaceae. The record is from RNAcentral.
CAAGCACAAAAUCGUAAUCAUCUAAUUGGAUUACCUCGAAUUCUUCCUUGCUCUUCCAUUCGCCGAUUUGUAGUUCCACAUCACGAACUACUCCCACAGUUGGGGCUUUCUCAGAAGUUGCUACCUUGAUCUUCUUAUUCGAUUUCCUAAUCGACAGACCAAGCUUCUUCGCAGCCUUUUCCGACAUGAACAAGUCCAAUGCUCCCGUAUCAAUAAGAGCACUCCGCUUC